RNAcentral lists this ribosomal RNA (253 nucleotides) under uncultured bacterium. Its description in RNAcentral is "partial 16S ribosomal RNA". It matches the Rfam family "Bacterial small subunit ribosomal RNA", at positions 524 to 776 of the family's 1533-position model. The record is from RNAcentral.
UACGAAGGGUGCAAGCGUUACUCGGAAUUACUGGGCGUAAAGCGUGCGUAGGCGGUUUGUUAAGUCCGUUGUGAAAGCCCUGGGCUCAACCUGGGAAUUGCAGUGGAUACUGGCGAGCUAGAGUGCGGUAGAGGAUGGUGGAAUUCCCGGUGUAGCGGUGAAAUGCGUAGAGAUCGGGAGGAACACCGGUGGCGAAAGCGGCGCGCUGGACCUUUACUGACGCUGAGGCGCGAAAGCCAGGGGAGCAAACGGG